Molecule: ribosomal RNA, 1458 nt
Filed under: metagenome
Description: bacterial SSU rRNA
Rfam family: Bacterial small subunit ribosomal RNA
Source: RNAcentral
GUUUGAUCAUGGCUCAGAUUGAACGCUGGCGGCAGGCCUAACACAUGCAAGUCGAACGGUAACAGGAAACAGCUUGCUGUUUCGCUGACGAGUGGCGGACGGGUGAGUAAUGUCUGGGAAACUGCCUGAUGGAGGGGGAUAACUACUGGAACCGGUAGCUAAUACCGCAUAACGUCGCAAGACCAAAGUGGGGGACCCUCGGGCCUCUUGCCAUCGGAUGUGCCUAGAUGGGAUUAGCUUGUUGGUGGGGUAACGGCUCACCAAGGCGACGAUCCCUAGCUGGUCUGAGAGGAUGACCAGCCACACUGGAACUGAGACACGGUCCAGACUCCUACGGGAGGCAGCAGCGGGGAAUAUUGGACAAUGGGCGAAAGCCUGAUCCAGCCAUGCCGCGUGUGUGAAGAAGGUCUUCGGAUUGUAAAGCACUUUAAGUUGGGAGGAAGGGCAGUAAGUUAAUACCUUGCUGUUUUGACGUUACCAACAGAAUAAGCACCGGCUAACUUCGUGCCAGCAGCCGCGGUAAUACGAAGGGUGCAAGCGUUAAUCGGAAUUACUGGGCGUAAAGCGCGCGUAGGUGGUUCAGCAAGUUGGAUGUGAAAUCCCCGGGCUCAACCUGGGAACUGCAUCCAAAACUACUGAGCUAGAGUACGGUAGAGGGUGGUGGAAUUUCCUGUGUAGCGGUGAAAUGCGUAGAGAUGUGGAGGAACACCAGUGGCGAAGGCGACUCUCUGGUCUGUAACUGACGCUGAGGAGCGAAAGCGUGGGGAGCGAACAGGAUUAGAUACCCUGGUAGUCCACGCCGUAAACGAUGAGUGCUAAGUGUUAGGGGGUUUCCGCCCCUUAGUGCUGCAGCUAACGCAUUAAGCACUCCGCCUGGGGAGUACGGUCGCAAGACUGAAACUCAAAGGAAUUGACGGGGGCCCGCACAAGCGGUGGAGCAUGUGGUUUAAUUCGAAGCAACGCGAAGAACCUUACCAGGUCUUGACAUCCUCUGACAAUCCUAGAGAUAGGACGUCCCCUUCGGGGGCAGAGCGACAGGUGGUGCAUAGUUGUCGUCAGCUCGUGUCGUGAGAUGUUGGGUUAAGUCCCGCAACGAGCGCAACCCUUGAUCUUAGUUGCCAGCAUUCAGUUGGGCACUCUAAGGUGACUGCCGGUGACAAACCGGAGGAAGGUGGGGAUGACGUCAAAUCAUCAUGCCCCUUAUGACCUGGGCUACACACGUGCUACAAUGGACAGAACAAAGGGCAGCGAAACCGCGAGGUUAAGCCAAUCCCACAAAUCUGUUCUCAGUUCGGAUCGCAGUCUGCAACUCGACUGCGUGAAGCUGGAAUCGCUAGUAAUCGCGGAUCAGCAUGCCGCGGUGAAUACGUUCCCGGGCCUUGUACACACCGCCCGUCACACCACGAGAGUUUGUAACACCCGAAGUCGGUGAGGUAACCUUUUAGGAGCCAGCCGCCG